Coturnix japonica (Japanese quail) is the source of this 1441-nucleotide non-coding RNA. The record is from RefSeq and is a predicted model, not a curated record. Lineage: Eukaryota; Metazoa; Chordata; Aves; Galliformes; Phasianidae.
UCGGCUUCCUCCGUUUCACCCCCUGCUCUUUAUGUUUAACUUCAGGAGCGCCAUCUCGUUCCCAUCAGGGAAACGCGGCGGGACGGCUCGCAGGACCCGAACGCAGUGGAGGACGGCUGCGUUCUUUUCAGGAGAGACAGCCGAGGUCACCGGGACUUCUCGAGCUCUGCCUAAGGAUGAAGGAAGAAUUAGGAGAGCCCCGGGGCGCCUCAGCCUAGUCGAGGUGCUUCCGGAGCUCGUAUUCCUGUUGUAGGAUGCAUUUAUGAGUGAUACGAAGAUAGGGGUGACCCGAAGCGCAGCGGCGGCAAGACGUUGAAGUUUAGGACCUGACGUGGAGCAAUAAGGUAUCUCCUAUCGUCCUUUUUCCCGUAUCGUAAUGGGCUAAGCCUAGGCGUGUCGAGCAAGGCGGCAGAAGUGAGUAUCAAAGAGCGUUCCGCCGUGUUGUGUGUUUAUUUUUCCAGACAAGGCGGGUGAGGACGGUAGGAUAGCCCGAGUUAGAGCAGCCUUAAGUGAGGGCGAGAAGGACAGCCGGCGUGACAGCAGCCGGUAGGUGUCACCUUCCUUUUGGGGCACGGUGUCGGGAUAGCAUGUUGCGGAUGUUGUUUUGCUGCUUUUAUUACAGGUUGAGCACAGUAGCGGAGCGUUUGGCAGGGAGGACGGGUGAGCAGCGCAGCCCGGCUGUUGCAGCAUCCCUUCAGAAGCGGUUUGAGGAGCAGAGUCGGCAUGGCAUCGACGCACCUGCGAGGAGUCAGGAAUGAGCUGGAGUGAGGAGAAGCUGGGUUCUGGAUCCUGCAAAAGAAGACUUGGUUUAGUACAAGCAUCAGGAAAGAGCUCUUUGGAAUGGCUCUGGCUCUAUGCCUUAGGGGGUAGAGGAAAUUUGCUGGUAAAGAAGGUUUGGCAAAGUGGCUGGAGAAAGCCAACCUGAUUGGAGGGGACAUGUGACUCCUACCUCUGCGUGAGGUGGCCCUGACUUCAACUGCUCUGCACAAGAGUUGCAUCCGAAUCCUCUGAGAACUGUGUCGGCCCUGGCCUGUGACUGCUGCCUCAGGGAAGCCUGUUUUGAUAUCUCAGACUUCUAUAGAGCAAAAUUUUCCAAAAUCUCCAACCUGUAAUUCCUCAAACCUAACAAACACAAAAGCUACCGGGGAAAAGAAGCUGACCUCACCUUCCAAAAGCUCCCUUUCAGUGAAGCUGAAUGGAGGAAGUUUGAGCCCUUCUUUGGAUGCUUUCUGAGAGCUUUAUUUUUUUAAUUGAUUUUGUUUUGUAAAUGAAAUAGUCAUCUACAGACUUAGAAUAUAUUAGAUAGCUGAAAUUCAUGGAUAUAUUGUUCUAAUAGUGGAAUGGAAUAAAAUCUAAUAAAUUACCCUGAACUUAAACAUUGUUACAAUCUGUGUCAUUUCAAUGAUUACACUUUCUGCAUACUACAAUACUUAUUAUCCAU